This 173-nucleotide non-coding RNA is filed under the name human gut metagenome. The record is from RNAcentral.
CAUCGUGAGAUGGAAUCUGAAGGAAGCUGGAUGUGAGGAACAUACUAACUCAUGGGCAAAUCUCUGGUCUGACGAACAGAAAUCUUAUAUGAGGUUAUGCAUGAGGGUAAGGUUGCACGCCAAAUCGAAGCCCAAUAACUACACGGAACCGAGAAAGUAAAAUAUGGUUGUCA